UUAUCAGUGAGGACUCACGAUGCAGAAAAACCAAAAGAAAAGACAGUUUUGACCGGGACAUUUUAAAAAGACACAAAAAGUAAAAGUGACUUGGAUCCAAAGCUGUGAUUUCCAUUUGGCUGUGUUUAGUUUUGACCUUUGACCCAGAGAAACAGUUUUAGCCACGGCUCUGGAUCCAAGUAGAUGAGAGACGACGAGUCUUUCAGUUCAAACUGUGCUGCGUUCACUGACUGUACGGACUUUAUGUACGUAUGCAUGUUUUGUGCGCGUGUGUAAUAAUUAACAUAAUAACGUUAAGGUUACCACCAACACCAUCUAGUCUUUCAGAGAACCUUUAAAAAAGUCUUGACUGAAUCCAUUUUUAAGGUGGUUCUGAUUUGACAAAGAGCUGAAAAUAUUUCAUUCAGAUAAAAACACAAAAGAAAACACACAGCAAUGCAAUUUAGAUUUAGAGUUUAUAUCCAACUAAAACAAGGUGGCGUUUCCAUGACGACCAACACCACAAAGAACACAUUCAUGCAAAAACAUAUACUGAACACACACUCGACACACAUGCAAACACACCAUUUAAAGUUGUGUUUAUUUUUACCACGUUAGCUCUGAGCCCACACACGUUGCCAUGCUAACAAAGAAGCUAACGUCAGCGCAACAUGCUCCAGUACAUUGAACUAUUGUUGGAGGGAGUAACGUGGUGAACACGGACUACAGCAGCACCGUGGUGAGCCCAUGUGUGUUAGUGUACGUUAGAGAGUGGC
Cynoglossus semilaevis (tongue sole) is the source of this 755-nucleotide long non-coding RNA. RefSeq lists it as uncharacterized. The transcript has 2 exons. The record is from RefSeq and is a predicted model, not a curated record. NCBI's taxonomy places the organism in Eukaryota, Metazoa, Chordata, Actinopteri, Pleuronectiformes, Cynoglossidae.